GAUGAACGCUGGCGGCGUGCUUAACACAUGCAAGUCGAACGAAGCACUUUAUUUGAUUUCCUUCGGGACUGAUUAUUUUGUGACUGAGUGGCGGACGGGUGAGUAACUCGUGGGUAACCUGCCUUGUACAGGGGGAUAACAGUUGGAAACGGCUGCUAAUACCGCAUAAGCGCACAGCAUCGCAUGAUGCAGUGUGAAAAACUCCGGUGGUAUAAGAUGGACCCGCGUUGGAUUAGCUAGUUGGUGAGGUAACGGCCCACCAAGGCGACGAUCCAUAGCCGGUCUGAGAGGGUGACCGGCCACAUUGGGACUGAGACACGGACCAAACUCCUACGGGAGGCAGCAGUGGGGAAUAUUGGACAAUGGGCGAAAGCCUGAUGCAGCGACGCCGCGUGAGCGAAGAAGGAUUUCGGUAUGUAAAGCUCUAUUAGCAGGGAAGAUAAUGACGGUACCUGGAUAAGAAGCACCGGCUAAAUACGUG
This 481-nucleotide ribosomal RNA is filed under the name uncultured bacterium. RNAcentral describes it as "partial 16S ribosomal RNA". It matches the Rfam family "Bacterial small subunit ribosomal RNA", at positions 28 to 507 of the family's 1533-position model. The record is from RNAcentral.